This 492-nucleotide ribosomal RNA is filed under the name uncultured Bacillota bacterium. RNAcentral's name for it is "bacterial SSU rRNA". It matches the Rfam family "Bacterial small subunit ribosomal RNA", at positions 8 to 507 of the family's 1533-position model. Lineage: Bacteria; Bacillati; Bacillota. The record is from RNAcentral.
AGAGUUUGAUCCUGGCUCAGGAUGAACGCUGGCGGCGUGCCUAAUACAUGCAAGUCGAGCGAACAGAUAAGGAGCUUGCUCCUUUGAAGUUAGCGGCGGACGGGUGAGUAACACGUGGGUAACCUACCUAUAAGACUGGGAUAACUUCGGGAAACCGGAGCUAAUACCGGAUAACAUUUAGAACCGCAUGGUUCUAAAGUGAAAGAUGGUUUUGCUAUCACUUAUAGAUGGACCCGCGCCGUAUUAGCUAGUUGGUAAGGUAACGGCUUACCAAGGCGACGAUACGUAGCCGACCUGAGAGGGUGAUCGGCCACACUGGAACUGAGACACGGUCCAGACUCCUACGGGAGGCAGCAGUGGGGAAUAUUGCACAAUGGGGGGAACCCUGAUGCAGCGACGCCGCGUGAGUGAAGAAGUAUUUCGGUAUGUAAAGCUCUAUCAGCAGGGAAGAUAAUGACGGUACCUGACUAAGAAGCCCCGGCUAACUACGUG